This 254-nucleotide ribosomal RNA is filed under the name uncultured bacterium. RNAcentral's name for it is "partial 16S ribosomal RNA". It matches the Rfam family "Bacterial small subunit ribosomal RNA", at positions 524 to 777 of the family's 1533-position model. The record is from RNAcentral.
UACGUAGGGGGCUAGCGUUGCUCGGAAUCACUGGGCGUAAAGGGCGCGUAGGCGGACUUUUAAGUCAGGGGUGAAAUCCUGAGGCUCAACCCCAGAACUGCCUUUGAUACUGAGGGUCUCGAGACCGGUAGAGGUAAGUGGAACUGCGAGUGUAGAGGUGAAAUUCGUAGAUAUUCGCAAGAACACCAGUGGCGAAGGCGGCUCACUGGCCCGAUACUGACGCUGAGGCACGAAAGCGUGGGGAGCAAACAGGG